Molecule: unclassified non-coding RNA, 374 nt
Filed under: uncultured bacterium
Lineage: Bacteria
Description: contains 16S-23S intergenic spacer region
Source: RNAcentral
UCCGGCUUAUCACCGGCAGUCCCACUAGAGUGCCCAACUGAAUGAUGGUAACUAAUGGCAAGGGUUGCGCUCGUUGCGGGACUUAACCCAACACCUCACGGCACGAGCUGAUGACAGCCGUGCAUCACCUCGCACAGUGCCCCGAAGGGAGACCGGCUUUCACCGGCUGUCACUGCACGUUCAAGCCCAGGUAAGGUUCUUCGCGUUGCAUCGAAUUAAACCACACGCUCCACCGCUUGUGCGGGCCCCCGUCAAUUCCUUUGAGUUUUAAUCUUGCGACCGUACUCCCCAGGCGGAGAGCUUAAUGCGUUAGCUGCGCCACUGAGAAGUAAACUUCCCAACGGCUAGCUCUCAUAGUUUACGGCGUGGACUAC